Molecule: ribosomal RNA, 478 nt
Filed under: uncultured bacterium
Lineage: Bacteria
Description: partial 16S ribosomal RNA
Rfam family: Bacterial small subunit ribosomal RNA
Source: RNAcentral
GAUGAACGCUGGCGGCGUGCUCAACACAUGCAAGUCGAACGAUUAAAGCCCCUCCGGGGGUGUAUAGAGUGGCGAACGGGUGAGUAACACGUGGGCAAUCUGCCCCUCACACUGGGAUAACUCGAGGAAACUCGUGCUAAUACCGGAUACUCCGGACUGACCACAUGGUCGGUUCGGGAAAGCUCCGGCGGUGAGGGAUGAGCCCGCGGCCCAUUAGCUAGUUGGUGAGGUAACGGCCCACCAAGGCAACGAUGGGUAGCCGCGCUGAGAGGGGGAUCGGCCACACUGGGACUGAGACACGGCCCAGACUCCAAGGGGAGGCAGGAGUGGGGAAUUUUGCGCAAUGGGCGAAAGCCUGGCGCAGCAACGCCGCGGGGGGGAUGAAGGCCUUCGGGUUGUAAACCGCUUUCAGCAGGGAUGAAAAUGACAGUACCUGCAGAAGAAGCCCCGGCUAACUACGUGCCAGCCGCCGCGGUAA